CCUACGGGUGGCAGCAGUAGGGAAUCUUCCACAAUGGACGCAAGCCUGAUGGAGCAACGCCGCGUGGGUGAAGAAGGUCUUCGGAUCGUAAAACUCUGUUGUUAGAGAAGAACAUGCGUUAGAGUAACUGUUCACGUUUCGACGGUAUCUAACCAGAAAGCCACGGCUAACUACGUGCCAGCAGCCGCGGUAAUACGUAGGUGGCAAGCGUUAUCCGGAUUUAUUGGGCGUAAAGGGAACGCAGGCGGUCUUUUAAGUCUGAUGUGAAAGCCUUCGGCUUAACCGGGGAAGUGCAUUGGAAACUGGGAGACUUGAGUGCAGAAGAGGAGAGUGGAACUCCAUGUGUAGCGGUGAAAUGCGUAGAUAUAUGGAAGAACACCAGUGGCGAAGGCGGCUCUCUGGUCUGUAACUGACGCUGAGGUUCGAAAGCGUGGGUAGCAAACAGGAUUAGAUACCCUAGUAGUC
Molecule: ribosomal RNA, 465 nt
Filed under: uncultured bacterium
Lineage: Bacteria
Description: partial 16S ribosomal RNA
Rfam family: Bacterial small subunit ribosomal RNA
Source: RNAcentral